CCAGACUCCUACGGGAGGCAGCAGUGGGGGAUAUUGCACAAUGGGGGAAACCCUGAUGCAGCGACGCCGCGUGAGUGAAGAAGUAAUUCGUUACGUAAAGCUCUAUCAGCAGGGAAGAAAAUGACGGUACCUGACUAAGAAGCCCCGGCUAACUACGUGCCAGCAGCCGCGGUAAUACGUAGGGGGCAAGCGUUAUCCGGAAUUACUGGGUGUAAAGGGAGCGCAGACGGCAGUGCAAGUCUGGAGUGAAAGCCCGUGGCUUAACCACGGGACUGCUCUGGAAACUGUGCAGCUAGAGUGCAGGAGAGGCAGGCGGAAUUCCUAGUGUAGCGGUGAAAUGCGUAGAUAUUAGGAGGAACACCGGUGGCGAAGGCGGCCUGCUGGACUGUAACUGACGUUGAGGCUCGAAAGCGUGGGGAGCAAACAGGAUUAGAUACCCGAGUA
This 444-nucleotide ribosomal RNA is filed under the name uncultured bacterium. RNAcentral describes it as "partial 16S ribosomal RNA". It matches the Rfam family "Bacterial small subunit ribosomal RNA", at positions 331 to 792 of the family's 1533-position model. The record is from RNAcentral.